Molecule: ribosomal RNA, 263 nt
Filed under: uncultured bacterium
Lineage: Bacteria
Description: partial 16S ribosomal RNA
Rfam family: Bacterial small subunit ribosomal RNA
Source: RNAcentral
AGCGAACGCUGGCGGCAGGCUUAACACAUGCAAGUCGAGCGCCGUAGCAAUACGGAGCGGCAGACGGGUGAGUAACACGUGGGAACGUACCUUUUGGUUCGGAACAACACAGGGAAACUUGUGCUAAUACCGGAUAAGCCCUUACGGGGAAAGGAUUAUCGCCGAAAGAUCGGCCCGCGUCUGAUUAGCUAGUUGGUGAGGUAACGGCUCACCAAGGCGACGAUCAGUAGCUGGUCUGAGAGGAUGAUCAGCCACACUGGGAC